UAACAAGGUCUCCGUUGGUGAACCAGCGGAGGGAUCAUUAAAGAGUUGCAAAACUCCAACCCCUGUGAACCUUACCUGCACGUUGCUUCGGCGGCCGACGCCGCGCCCCGCCGGGCGUGGAGGACGCCGCCGGAGGUCACAAACCCUGAAUUCUAGUGUGUCUCUGAGUAUGGAAAGAACCAAUCAAAACUUUCAACAACGGAUCUCUUGGCUCUGGCAUCGAUGAAGAACGCAGCGAAAUGCGAUAAGUAAUGUGAAUUGCAGAAUUCAGUGAAUCAUCGAAUCUUUGAACGCACAUUGCGCCCGCCGGUAUUCCGGCGGGCAUGCCUGUCCGAGCGUCAUUUCACCACUCAAGCCCAGCUUGGUGUUGGGGCACCCGGCCGCCUGGCGGUCCGGGGCUCCCAAGUACAUCGGCGGUCCCGCCAGGGGCUCCGAGCGCAGUAACUCGCGGUAAAACGCGCCCUCGCUCGGCGGCCUCUUCGGGCUUCCAGCCGCUAAAUCCCCCCAGCGACGUUUCUCGAGUUGACCUCGGAUCAGGUAGGAAUACCCGCUGAACUUAAGCAUAUCAUAA
The sequence is a ribosomal RNA, 571 nucleotides long. The stretch from base 188 to 341 matches the Rfam family "5.8S ribosomal RNA".